GCGGGCAGCCGGGCGGUCGCUGCCGUCAUGCACAUGCGUGACGGGAGAGGAAAGUCCGAACUCCGCAGGGCAGUGUGCCGGAUAACGUCCGGGAUUCAGGCGUCAAGGCCUGAAGACGGCCAGUGCCACAGAAAACAUACCGCCUGCGCCGCAAGGCACAGGUAAGGGUGAAAAGGUGCGGUAAGAGCGCACCGCUUCGACGGUAACGCCGAAGGCAGGGUAAACCCCACACGGAGCAAGACCAAAUAGGGAGGGAUGCGCGGCAAGACCCGUUCCGCCGCGCGGCGUUUCGGCCCGGAGCGCCAGCGAGGGUCAUCCAGACUGGCGGCCAUGUGCCGCUAAGUGGAGCGGAAACCUCCGGGUAGGUCGCUUGAGCGCCGCAGUAAUGCGUCGCCUAGAGGAAUGACCGUCCUUGACAGAAUUCGGCUUACAGGCUGCUUGCAAAU
RNAcentral lists this RNase P RNA (446 nucleotides) under Pseudacidobacterium ailaaui. RNAcentral's name for it is "Acidobacterium ailaaui (wood decay metagenome) RNase P RNA component class A". It matches the Rfam family "Bacterial RNase P class A". From Rfam's summary of the family: Ribonuclease P (RNase P) is a ubiquitous endoribonuclease, found in archaea, bacteria and eukarya as well as chloroplasts and mitochondria. RNAcentral also lists the same sequence under 1 other name. The record is from RNAcentral. Lineage: Bacteria; Pseudomonadati; Acidobacteriota; Terriglobia; Terriglobales; Acidobacteriaceae.